Long non-coding RNA from Hemicordylus capensis (graceful crag lizard), 615 nucleotides. RefSeq lists it as uncharacterized. Lineage: Eukaryota; Metazoa; Chordata; Lepidosauria; Squamata; Cordylidae. The transcript is spliced from 3 exons. The record is from RefSeq and is a predicted model, not a curated record.
GGGCUCAUCACAAGAAGGAGAAGGAGAAGAGCAACAACAAGAAGAGCAACAACAAGAAGAGCAACAACAAGAAGAGCAACAACAAGAAGAGCAACAAGAAGAAGAAGAAGAAGAAGAACAACAACAACAACAACAACAACAAUAACAACAUGACAGCUAACAAGGUAACAGUCACUUCUGUAAGAGGGGAAGAGCCAAACCAACUGAACUGAUAAAACAGCCAAUCAACAGAACUGAAGACUGAUUCCACUCCAAGGACUUAACAUAGACACAUACUUAUAGAGGAUCUCUAGAAGUUAAACCUUGGAGUGGGGAGAGGAUGCAUCAUCUUGUGUCAAUACAUGCACAUGACAAUUAGGGUGACAUGCAGCGUGCAUUCUGAUCACUCACAUCCUACAGCUGAGGUAUAGUGCUGAUAAACCUUAUUUUAGGCCAAUUGUUCAUAAUAGCUCUAGAGCUAGAGAGGAAAAAUAUUUCCUGUUUUCAAAUAACAAAAUAAAGUAUUUGAGUUUUAAGAAAAACAGUUCACUUUUAUUUUCAAAAAGAUACACAUAUACAUUUGAUGUGCAAUCAAACCUUUAACUUAGCAAAUAAAGAAAAGGGGGAAAGGAAAGA